RNAcentral lists this ribosomal RNA (711 nucleotides) under uncultured Providencia sp. RNAcentral describes it as "bacterial SSU rRNA". It matches the Rfam family "Bacterial small subunit ribosomal RNA", at positions 791 to 1502 of the family's 1533-position model. Lineage: Bacteria; Pseudomonadati; Pseudomonadota; Gammaproteobacteria; Enterobacterales; Morganellaceae. The record is from RNAcentral.
UAGUCCACGCUGUAAACGAUGUCGAUUUGGAGUUUGUUGCCUAGAGUGAUGGGCUCCGAAGCUAACGCGAUAAAUCGACCGCCUGGGGAGUACGGCCGCAAGGUUAAAACUCAAAUGAAUUGACGGGGGCCCGCACAAGCGGUGGAGCAUGUGGUUUAAUUCGAUGCAACGCGAAGAACCUUACCUGGUCUUGACAUCCAUAGAAUUCUGCAGAGAUGUGGGAGUGCCUUCGGGAACUAUGAGACAGGUGCUGCAUGGCUGUCGUCAGCUCGUGUUGUGAAAUGUUGGGUUAAGUCCCGCAACGAGCGCAACCCUUAUUCUUUGUUGCCAGCGAUUUGGUCGGGAACUCAAAGGAGACUGCCGUUGAUAAAGCGGAGGAAGGUGGGGACGACGUCAAGCCAUCAUGGCCCUUACGACCAGGGCUACACACGUGCUACAAUGGCGUAUACAAAGGGAAGCGAAGGUGCGAGCUGGAGCGGAUCUCAUAAAGUACGUCUAAGUUCGGAUUGGAGUCUGCAACUCGACUCCAUGAAGUCGGGAUCGCUAGUAAUCGUAGAUCAGAAUGCUACGGUGAAUACGUUCCCGGGCCUUGUACACACCGCCCGUCACACCAUGGGAGUGGGUUGCACCAGAAGUAGAUAGCUUAACCGCGAGGGGGGCGUUUACCACGGUGUGAUUCAUGACUGGGGUGAAGUCGUAACAAGGUAACCA